CUGGAGGUAUCAGAAGUGCGAAUGCUGACAUAAGUAACGAUAAAGCGGGUGAAAAGCCCGCUCGCCGGAAGACCAAGGGUUCCUGUCCAACGUUAAUCGGGGCAGGGUGAGUCGACCCCUAAGGCGAGGCCGAAAGGCGUAGUCGAUGGGAAACGGGUUAAUAUUCCCGUACUUGGUGUUACUGCGAAGGGGGGACGGAGAAGGCUAUGUUGGCCGGGCGACGGUUGUCCCGGUUUAAGCGUGUAGGUGUGUGUUCCAGGUAAAUCCGGUUCACUUUAACACUGAGGCGUGACGACGAGGCACUACGGUGCUGAAGCAACAAAUGCCCUGCUUCCAGGAAAAGCCUCUAAGCAUCAGGUAACACGAAAUCGUACCCCAAACCGACACAGGUGGUCAGGUAGAGAAUACCAAGGCGCUUGAGAGAACUCGGGUGAAGGAACUAGGCAAAAUGGUGCCGUAACUUCGGGAGAAGGCACGCUGACACGUAGGUGAAGUGAUUUACUCAUGGAGCUGAAGUCAGUCGAAGAUACCAGCUGGCUGCAACUGUUUAUUAAAAACACAGCACUGUGCAAACACGAAAGUGGACGUAUACGGUGUGACGCCUGCCCGGUGCCGGAAGGUUAAUUGAUGGGGUCAGCGCAAGCGAAGCUCCUGAUCGAAGCCCCGGUAAACGGCGGCCGUAACUAUAACGGUCCUAAGGUAGCGAAAUUCCUUGUCGGGUAAGUUCCGACCUGCACGAAUGGCGUAAUGAUGGCCAGGCUGUCUCCACCCGAGACUCAGUGAAAUUGAACUCGCUGUGAAGAUGCAGUGUACCCGCGGCAAGACGGAAAGACCCCGUGAACCUUUACUAUAGCUUGACACUGAACAUUGAGCCUUGAUGUGUAGGAUAGGUGGGAGGCUUUGAAGCGUGGACGCCAGUCUGCGUGGAGCCGACCUUGAAAUACCACCCUUUAAUGUUUGAUGUUCUAACGUGGACCCGUUA
Molecule: ribosomal RNA, 982 nt
Filed under: Salmonella enterica subsp. enterica serovar Hartford
Lineage: Bacteria; Pseudomonadati; Pseudomonadota; Gammaproteobacteria; Enterobacterales; Enterobacteriaceae
Description: partial 23S ribosomal RNA
Rfam family: Bacterial large subunit ribosomal RNA
Source: RNAcentral